This 635-nucleotide long non-coding RNA is filed under the name Nicotiana benthamiana. RNAcentral describes it as "long non-coding RNA (NBEN_LNC041110)". The record is from RNAcentral. Lineage: Eukaryota; Viridiplantae; Streptophyta; Magnoliopsida; Solanales; Solanaceae.
CAAAAUGGUCUAUAGGACACAAAGUACAGCAUAUUAUGGAAAUAUUACAGGAAAAAUAUACAAACUUACAAAUACAAAAACAGUUAAAACAGAACAAUAAGAGUUUCUGUAAAUCAACAGUAUAUACAACCCAAAGUUAUAACAAAAAUGAAUGCAAAAGAAAGAAAUACAAAAGAUAUAAACCCCAAUAUAAUAAGGAAUACAAUAGAAAAAAUUAUUAUCUUAGAAAGUCUUCAGCUAGAAAGCCCUAUUUAAAUAGAAAUAAGCAUGUUAGAAAAUAUAGAACAGAUAGAAACUAUAAAAACAAACUAGAAUGUUUUACUUGUGGUAGUGUAGAACAUCUAUAGAACAGAUAGAAAUUAUAAAAACAAAUUAGAAUGUUUUACUUGUGGUAGUGUAGAACAUUUAGCCAACACUUGUCCAAAAAGAAUCAAUAGCAAAACAAGAAAUUCACAAUUAAUAGAAGAUUUUCAAGAAACCCUAAUAAAUAUAGAUGAAUACAUGUCUGGCAACGAAAGUAUAUAUUCUAUAGUAAGUGUAGGAGUAGACGAAACUCAAAUAGAAACCUCAGCAUCAGAAGAAGAGGAAUUAAUAAAUGAAAUAGGAUUAGAAAAAUUAGACAUAGAAGAAAAUAA